AAAAACCUAAACCUAAAAAUAAAGGAAUACUGUGCAAACGACGGAACCCUAGAGUUACUGUUCGGUGUGCAAGGGUUGAUAAUGUUGCUGCCACUGGUUUUCCUCUCGGAAUGUCAUUCGCCGCUGUUAUGGCUCAGGUGUCUGGAAUCACCUUUGGCUCUAGCUAAUGUGAAGCCCGGACACACUAAAACAAUCAAUUCUAGUGUUGUAUAAAAGAGAUGUUGCAGCUGAUAGUAUGUCUCCCAGUCAUCUUUCGUUGAGGGCUCCUGCUUUUAUAUCAGAAUUGCUUCAGAUUAUACCAAAUGCACAUUACUUCAAGAGAGGAACCUAUGAUUUAAAAAAGAUUGUAGAAUAUGCAAAUAAUAAGGACUUCACAUCUACUGUAGUUGUACACACCAAUCACAGGGAACCAAGUAAGUGGUGCUUUUGAGUAAAGAAGAUCCCACGCAUCUAGAUCUUAUAUUUUAAAUAUUGUUUCAUUGCUUCACCAAAAAGUGGUGCUUUUCUUUAUGAGUAAGUGGUGCUUUUCAUUAUACUUUCCCUACUACUUUUCAUUGCUUUUCUUGUGUGGCUGAAUGGAUGUCAUAUUAGUGGCUGAAUGGAUGUCACAUUGAAUGGUACUGAGUUGAAAAGUGAAAACUAUCUUAAAUGAAGUCUAGUAUUUACUCCAAGUGGGCCAUGAAUUAUGGCACAUAUUUUUUACUACAGGGUGUUAGAAACUCUCAACACAAUCUAUGUAUUUUGAGCUUGACUAAUGUUAUUGAUAUGGCAUUGUUGGAAAUUGGAAAUCUAAGACCGACUAAUCUUUACAUAUUAUUAAAAAAAGUGAAACAAUCAAACAUAAGUGAAUUCAUAUUAAAACCUUAUGUUAUAAUAAGUUAUCUUUGAAUAUUUGAAAAGGAGAUUGGAAGUGUAAUAACCAUAGAUCUUGAUAAUUUUGCUUGAAUUUAUUUAAAAACUAGUGAAUCUGUUCUGUCUAAUCAAUCUUUUCUAUUUCAAAAUCAGAGGCACAUCUAUAGUUUAUAAAAGAUAAAUAUCUCUCAGGUUGAAAUGUGUAAAAGGUAUUAGAGGAAACAUCACUAAGAAUACCUGCCAUUCACAUGCCACAUAAAUUUACAAACACUUGCAGUUUGUGGUAAUUUCUUUCCCCCAAAAUAAAUUAGACCAAAAUAAACCCAAACCCAUAUAAAUCGUGAACCAAAACAACAGCAAAACUUUUUAGAUCUAAACCCAAACCCAUAUAAAUCUUUGGCCUUUGAGUUAAAUGAAAUUAUUAAUAAAAUUGUAUAGCAAAACUUUUUAAUCUUACUAGAUUUAAUUAUUCUUCUACCUGAUUCCUUUGUAUGUUUGUUGUUACCAUCUUGAAAAUUUCCUCUGAAAUAACUUACCGAUAAAAUUGCAGGAAUGUGGUCCUCGUUUCACAUUGAAAUUAGUUAGCCUGCCGCAUGGAACAUUUGACACUAAAGGUGGAGAAUAUCAGUGGGUUCACAAGGUAUUAGGGACUAUAUUAUCUCCAAGUCCAUGUGCGUAUGUGGUGCAACAAAUAUUCUCGCAAACGAUCUUUAUUAUGUUCAUACUUUAGUUGGAAGAAAUCAAAGAGGUUUUGAGUCAAUUUUAUAUUCAGCAACUAUUCAUGUAGGAUUUGUUGCCAAUAUUUGAAGUAUAAUAUUGUUGAUGUUACUGAUUUAGUUUGUUUGACAUUAGUUACAUGUGAAACUUUCUGUAUAUAUAUUAUACUUUACAUGAUUUAGUUUGUUUGACAGGAACUAUAAUGAUGUAUAUAUUUAAUUUUGGAUAUUAUAAUGGUAUUAUAUUAGUAUAUAUAUAUAUUGUCCUACCUAUGGUUGAAAAUAUAUCGUCGAAAAUAUAUUACAGGUCGAAAAUAUUACAGGUUGAAAAUAUAUUACAGGUCGAAAAUAUUACAGGUCGAACUGGGAGGCUUAAAUUAUAGGCUGCACUUUAAAAUACCUCAUUUAGCAACAACAGCGCUUUUAAAAAGCGCUCUUAAAGGGCCACCUACUAAAGCGCUUUAUUACAAAAAGCGCUGCCAAAGAUUAAAAAAAACAUAAAAAAAACGCAACC
Vicia villosa (hairy vetch) is the source of this 2082-nucleotide RNA transcript. RefSeq lists it as uncharacterized. NCBI's taxonomy places the organism in Eukaryota, Viridiplantae, Streptophyta, Magnoliopsida, Fabales, Fabaceae. The record is from RefSeq and is a predicted model, not a curated record. The transcript has 6 exons.